UCAACAAGUUGAAGGAACCAACAGGGUAUUGCCUUAGUAACUGCGAGUGAAGCGUGCAAAAGCUCAAAUUUGAAAUCUGGGUCUUCGGCGUCCGAAUUGUAAUUUGGAGAGACAUCUUCGGGGUAGGCGCUGUCCUAAGUUCCUUGGAACAGGACGUCACAGAGGGUGAGAAUCCCGUGUCUGGAUGGCUGCCCUACUCCAUGUGAAGUGUCUUCGACGAGUCGAGUUGUUUGGGAAUGCAGCUCAAAAUGGGAGGUAAAUUUCUUCUAAAGCUAAAUAUUGGCGAGAGACCGAUAGCGCACAAGUAGAGUGAUCGAAAGAUGAAAAGCACUUUGAAAAGAGAGUUAAAAAGUACGUGAAAUUGUUGAAAGGGAAGCGCUUGAGACCAGACUCGGUCAGUGGUGAUCAGCGGUGCUUCUGUACCGUGCACUUGCCAUUGACUGGGCCAGCAUCGGUUCGGACGGCGGGAUAAAGGCCUUAGGAAUGUGGCUCUCUUCGGGGAGUGUUAUAGCCUAGGGUGCAAUGCCGCCAGUCUGGACCGAGGACCGCGCUUCGGCUAGGAUGCUGGCGUAAUGGUCUUCAGCGACCCGUCUUGAAACACGGACCAAGGAGUCUAACAUCUAUGCGAGUGUUCGGGUGGAAAACCCUUGCGCGUAAUGAAAGUGAACGGAGGUGAGAACACUUCGGUGUGCAUCAUCGACCGAUCCUGAUGUCUUCGGAUGGAUUUGAGUAUGAGCAUAGCUGUUGGGACCCGAAAGAUGGUGAACUAUGCCUGAAUAGGGUGAAGCCAGAGGAAACUCUGGUGGAGGCUCGCAGCGGUUCUGACGUGCAAAUCGAUCGUCAAAUUUGGGUAUAGGGGCGAAAGACUAAUCGAACCAUCUAGUAGCUGGUUCCUGCCGAGUUUCCCCUUCAGGAAAACAACCGCCCAGUUACAAAUGGUUCGAUUAGUCUUUCGCCCUAUACCAAAUUUGACGAUGAUUUGCACGUCGAACGCUGCGAGCUCACCUGAAGUUCCUCUGGCUUCACCUAUUCAGGCAUAGUUUACAUCUUUCGGGUCACAGCUAUGCUCAUACUCAAAUCAUCGAAGACUCAGAUCGAUGAAGGAGGCACCGAUGUUUCAUCUCGUACUUUCUCUACGCCAGGGCUUCACGACCUCGCAUGAAUGUUAGAUCUUUGUCGGGAUUCAGACGGGCGCUUAACAUUACGAUCUACGAAUGCGUCUGUGCUAUGGUGCUGUCACAUUAGGCUUUAUACUUCG
Molecule: ribosomal RNA, 1258 nt
Filed under: Pseudombrophila subalpina
Lineage: Eukaryota; Fungi; Ascomycota; Pezizomycetes; Pezizales; Pyronemataceae
Description: LSU rRNA
Rfam family: Eukaryotic large subunit ribosomal RNA
Source: RNAcentral